Molecule: long non-coding RNA, 210 nt
Organism: Fukomys damarensis (Damara mole-rat)
Lineage: Eukaryota; Metazoa; Chordata; Mammalia; Rodentia; Bathyergidae
Exons: 3
Source: RefSeq, a predicted model, not a curated record
AGAAACAGAGGUUGAGACAAGAUCCACUUUCUUCAAUAUGACUUUUCGGUACUUUAAUUCCAUCACUGAUUCAGUGGUAUGAAGUUAGAAAUGCCAAUCUUCACACUCCAUCCCCCUUUUAUCAUCAGAAGCAACAGCAUGGGACAAGAAUUCACCUCUCCACCUCAACCCAGAGACAACAUUGGUCUACAGUUGCCUGAGGAAAAGCCA